AUUGUCCCAUAAAUCGAGACUAGUAUGAAUGGCUAAACGAGGUCUUAACUGUCUCUUACAGGCAAUCGGUGAAAUUGAUCUCCCUGUACAAAAGCAGGGAUAAACCCAUAAGACGAGAAGACCCUGUGGAACUUCAAAACCAGCAACCACCUUAAAUCACAUAUCCGCCCACCGGGUUCACUGCCACAUAAGCUUCUGGUCUGCGUUUUUCGGUUGGGGCGACCUUGGAGCAAAACAAAACCUCCAAAAAUUAGACCACACCUCUAGACUGAGAGCAACCCCUCAACGUGCUAAUAGCACCCAGACCCAAUACAAUUGAUCAAUGGACCAAGCUACCCCAGGGAUAACAGCGCAAUCUCCUCCGAGAGUCCGUAUCGACGAGGAGGUUUACGACCUCGAUGUUGGAUCAGGACAUCCUAGUGGUGCAGCCGCUACUAA
This 438-nucleotide ribosomal RNA is filed under the name Emberiza buchanani cerrutii. Its description in RNAcentral is "partial 16S ribosomal RNA". It matches the Rfam family "Bacterial large subunit ribosomal RNA", at positions 1968 to 2568 of the family's 2925-position model. Lineage: Eukaryota; Metazoa; Chordata; Aves; Passeriformes; Fringillidae. The record is from RNAcentral.